GUACUGGCCUUGUGGCCUCGCUCCUCUCUCCCUCCUCUGGUCGAUCCCUAUCCACUCCAAAGAAAAGGAAAAUAACCCCAUCGGCACCUGGUUCUUCAUCCACACGCAUCAUUUCGCCAGAUUUGCUGCCGGCGAAGGUAGAUAUCGCUCGUGGGCGGUGGCCAUCAUUGAGAGUCUACCCCCCUCUAAAAUUUCUCUUCCUGGGGUUGGUGGCGUAGGUGGCCGGGUGAGUGCGUGAACGCGUUUGAUGCGGUCUUCAGGGUGCAGAUGCUCGCCCACCUCGGCGAGUCCGGCGGCGAGGCCAUCAGGAGGUCCGGCGGCUAGCGACGGUGGUGGAUGUGCUGGAGGUUGGUGGCAUUGAGGGGGCAGUAAGGAAGCUCACGGAGAAGGGUGUGGAUUUCCUAGAUGAGUUCGUGCAAUGGAUAAUGGUCGGUUCUGAGGAGCGGGGCAGAGACUUGCACUGCGGCUAUGCUUCAUGAGAGCUAUGGGGUUAUGUAGACAAAUGUGAGAUCGUGCCAUAAGCAAAUGACAUCAAGAUCUGAGCACCGUUGCAGACGGCCUCGAGUUAUUUUCCUCUUCAUCUCCUACAAAAUGUUGCUUGCAUGGUCAAUUUGGGCAUCGGUUUGUUAAGCAGCAAAAGCUCGCAUGUUGAAUCUACUCAACUCAAGUAUUGAGAGUCUGGUUUUCCUCAAAAAGUGGCGAUUUCAUAUCUUAGAAGAAGUCUCGCAUUAGUUCAAAUUUGAACUAAAACCAUAACACUUAUUUUGGAUCGAGGAGUAUGAAUUUGGUAUUGAUUCUUGUGUUGAGUUCCUGCACAUUUGGAGCAAAUCGAGUAUAAUAAUUAUCUUAGAUUGGUGAAUAAAGAUGAGUCAAGAUAAAUUAGCUGAGAAAUAAUAAAAGUUGGUCUUUCAUACCUGUCAACAAUUUCCCAAGUUUAUGGUAUAUCUAGAUCUGUAUAGAUUCUUAUGACACUUGACUUUAAGCAUAAUCAUGUUUAAUCAAAGUAAAUUCUGUUAGACAUAUUUUUAUAAGGGAGAAGUAUAUUUUUUGUCCCUAAACUCUUUUGAAAGUAUAGAAAUAGUCCUUGAAUUCAAAAAUCAGCAAAACUUAGUCCCUCAACUUUUCAAACCGGAUUAGUUUAGUCUCUCAUACCGCUUCGAGUGGUUUCCAUCUGAUGUGGACAUGGUUUUGACCAAAAACUUGAAACGUCACCUAGGCUUGACCGCCACGUCAGUCCAUGUCAUUUUUUUCAAAGCACAGUGCAUGUCACCAAGGGCCCCAGUACUACCAGGCGCGGCGAGUUCGGAUGAGAAGCCGGACAGCGUCGUCCAUGACGGUCAUGCGGCGGAGACAAAGUGCUCGAGCGGCCAGAGGAGCUCGGCGACCCAGGGCGUGGCGUUGGCAGACGAGUUACUUGGCCUCCGUGUUGCACGGGCCGUCGAGCUGCAGCCUGCGCCCAGCGCGACGCCGCUGACCUUUUGGACAGGAGGCCUGAGCAGGAGGAGGAGCUCGAGGCCGCGAGCUCGGACAAGCCCUCCGCGGGCACCUCCACUGACCGCGUUGGUCAUGCAUCCGAUCGUAUGCAUCAGGGUGUAAGGUGCAGUCUAGGGAGCAACACAUCACGUGCGUGUGUAUUCUGGGCGAGAUCGGAUCAGCAUGUUCGUUGUGUUUGGCCUGCAUCUCCUGCGGGCCGAAUCAAUACGUAUGUUCACGUAUACCUACGUGUUUUGCCGGCGGCUAGAAUCAAUCCAGCAGCUAGUCUGCACUUCGUGUUCCUUUUUGGAGCACGCCUGCCUCACAGGAGACCCAAGGCCGCGCCCUGGUGCACCAGCUCAUUGCAGGAGCUCGCGAUCCCUGCUCGCGUGGUGCCCCUCCAUCCAUCCUAGCUAUGGUCAUGUCAAGCCCAACCACAACAUGAAUGAAGAACGGUAAGUCCGUCAGUGCAGACCUUGGUUUUAUGAGGACCCGCGCGAGCGUGCAGACUUGAGCCACCAGCGGUGGCAGCGACACGAGCAAAAGAGCAGCUUUGGGAGCUUCACGCCGUUGACCCUGCCUCCAGCACUCUAACAGACCAAGGGAAUACACAGGCCAUCGUUAAUCAGCCUCAUCAUGGACCACCCGGGCCGACGCGCACCGAGCCGCACCACGCCGGCUGCAGGCGCAGCAAUAUUUGCCCGUUGCACACACUGCCGGGCGCCGUCGACACGCACUGCCCGCUCGCUGAGCAU
Triticum aestivum (bread wheat) is the source of this 2228-nucleotide long non-coding RNA. RefSeq lists it as uncharacterized. NCBI's taxonomy places the organism in Eukaryota, Viridiplantae, Streptophyta, Magnoliopsida, Poales, Poaceae. The transcript has 3 exons. The record is from RefSeq and is a predicted model, not a curated record.